RNAcentral lists this microRNA precursor (118 nucleotides) under Echinops telfairi (small Madagascar hedgehog). RNAcentral describes it as "miRNA (ENSETEG00000026115.1)". The record is from RNAcentral. Lineage: Eukaryota; Metazoa; Chordata; Mammalia; Afrosoricida; Tenrecidae.
AUCGAGGAGGCUGAGCAGGGUCGGGCCUGGUUGUACUUGGGAUGGGAGAAAGGCCACGGCUUGGGUGAGAUGCACCUCAAAAUGACAUCUUCCAUCUUCACAGGGUUAUCUUUGAUCC